This 501-nucleotide ribosomal RNA is filed under the name uncultured bacterium. Its description in RNAcentral is "partial 16S ribosomal RNA". It matches the Rfam family "Bacterial small subunit ribosomal RNA", at positions 28 to 507 of the family's 1533-position model. The record is from RNAcentral.
GACGAACGCUGGCGGCGUGCUUAACACAUGCAAGUCGAACGGUGAAGCACCUUCCUUUUGGUGGGUGUGGAUGAGUGGCGCACGGGUGAGUAACACGUGAGUAACCUGCCCCCUUCUUCUGGAUAACCGCAUGAAAGUGUGGCUAAUACGGGAUAUUCUGUGCCUGCUGCAUGGUGGGUGUGGGAAAGAUGCGCUUUUGGGUGUUUUUGGUGGGGGAUGGGCUCGCGGCCUAUCAGCUUGUUGGUGGGGUGAGGGCCUACCAAGGCGGUGACGGGUAGCCGUCCUGAGAGGGAGGACGGUCACACUGGGACUGAGACACGGCCCAGACUCCUACGGGAGGCAGCAGUGGGGAAUAUUGCACAAUGGGCGCAAGACUGAUGCAGCGACGCCGCGUGAGGGAUGGCGGUCUUCGGGAUGUAAACCUCUUUCGGUAGGGAAGCAGGACUGUGCCUUGUGGGUGGGUUGACGGUACCUGAAGAAGAAGCGCCGGCUAACUACGUG